ACCUUGAUCUGAUGCACACAUUCUUCACUGGGACCUCAUGGGUGGAACCUUUGACAUGACAUCUGCGCAGUUGAUUUCUGCUAGUACUUCGCUUCGGUGGCUGGAACGUGGGGGUUGGUGAGCGGGGUGUCUGCACGCUGUUGGGUCCUGAGGGACCGGAUGCGGAUCUUUCCGGAUCUGGUCUGAACCUCUGGACCUCUUUCUGUUUGUCCCUGUGGGGGCAGGUGGAUGGGGGUACCGCCCGUACUUUGAGAACUACACAGUGGACGCGAGCAUCUUGCGACCGGCUUUCGAGCUGGUUGCACAAGAUGAUCUUAAAGAUCAUUAGUCAAUUUCUGAUCCCGCCUUCCGGUGGGGUCGAGUUUUUGAUUCAAACUCAUGUGAUUUCAAGUCUUUAAUAUCAAACGGUGGAUGCCUUGGCAUCUGGAGCCGAAAAAGGACGUAUCAAUCUGCGAUAAGCCUCGGGGAACUGAUAAGCAAGUUUUGAUCCGAGGGUGUCCGAAUGGGGAAACCCGGA
This 517-nucleotide unclassified non-coding RNA is filed under the name Microbacterium sp. RNAcentral describes it as "partial contains 16S-23S ribosomal RNA intergenic spacer and and 23S ribosomal RNA". The stretch from base 385 to 517 matches the Rfam family "Bacterial large subunit ribosomal RNA", at positions 1 to 132 of the family's 2925-position model. The record is from RNAcentral. Lineage: Bacteria; Bacillati; Actinomycetota; Actinomycetes; Micrococcales; Microbacteriaceae.